Mustela putorius furo (domestic ferret) is the source of this 191-nucleotide small nuclear RNA. Its record names the gene U2. It matches the Rfam family "U2 spliceosomal RNA". Rfam says of the family: U2 is a small nuclear RNA (snRNA) component of the spliceosome (involved in pre-mRNA splicing). Complementary binding between U2 snRNA (in an area lying towards the 5' end but 3' to hairpin I) and the branchpoint sequence (BPS) of the intron results the bulging out of an unpaired adenosine, on the BPS, which initiates a nucleophilic attack at the intronic 5' splice site, thus starting the first of two transesterification reactions that mediate splicing. NCBI's taxonomy places the organism in Eukaryota, Metazoa, Chordata, Mammalia, Carnivora, Mustelidae. The record is from Ensembl.
AUUAUUUCCUGGCCUUUUGGCUAAGAUCAAGUGUAGCAUCUGUUCUUAUUAGUUUAAUACCUGAUAUGUCCUAUCUCCAAGGACAAUAUAGUAAAUGGAUUUUUGGAGCAGGGAGACAGAAUAGGAGCUCACUCCAUCUAUUUCAUGCAUCUACCUGGUUUUGUAGUACUUCCUGGAAUGGUUCACUCCCU